AAUAAAAAUAUCUUUGGUUGGGGCAACCACGAAGAAAAAAAAACCUUUGUCAAAAAAAAGAAUCAACAAAUUUAAAAUUUUAAAAAGAUCCAGAAAACUGAUCAAAGAAAAAAGUUACCGUAGGGAUAACAGCGUUAUUCUCUUUAAGAGUUCAUAUUGACAAGAGAGUUUGCGACCUCGAUGUUGGACCGGGGCACCCAAGAGGUGCAACAGCCUCUAAAGGUAGGUCUGUUCGACCUUUAAAGCCCUACGCGAUCUGAGUUCAGACCGACGUAAGUCAGGUCAGUUUCUAUCUA
Molecule: ribosomal RNA, 296 nt
Filed under: Perometra robusta
Lineage: Eukaryota; Metazoa; Echinodermata; Crinoidea; Comatulida; Antedonidae
Description: partial 16S ribosomal RNA
Rfam family: Bacterial large subunit ribosomal RNA
Source: RNAcentral